RNAcentral lists this ribosomal RNA (497 nucleotides) under uncultured bacterium. Its description in RNAcentral is "partial 16S ribosomal RNA". It matches the Rfam family "Bacterial small subunit ribosomal RNA", at positions 28 to 507 of the family's 1533-position model. The record is from RNAcentral.
GAUGAACGCUGGCGGCGUGCCUAAUACAUGCAAGUCGAGCGAACAGACGAGGAGCUUGCUCCUCUGACGUUAGCGGCGGACGGGUGAGUAACACGUGGAUAACCUACCUAUAAGACUGGGAUAACUUCGGGAAACCGGAGCUAAUACCGGAUAAUAUAUUGAACCGCAUGGUUCAAUAGUGAAAGACGGUUUUGCUGUCACUUAUAGAUGGAUCCGCGCCGGAUUAGCUAGUUGGUAAGGUAACGGCUUACCAAGGCAACGAUGCGUAGCCGACCUGAGAGGGUGAUCGGCCACACUGGAACUGAGACACGGUCCAGACUCCUACGGGAGGCAGCAGUAGCGAAUCUUCCGCAAUGGGCGAAAGCCUGACGGAGCAACGCCGCGUGAGUGAUGAAGGUCUUCGGAUCGUAAAACUCUGUUAUUAGGGAAGAACAAAUGUGUAAGUAACUAUGCACGUCUUGACGGUACCUAAUCAGAAAGCCACGGCUAACUACGUG